UACGAGGGGGGCGAGCGUUGUUCGGAAUUAUUGGGCGUAAAGGGUGCGUAGGCGGUUUGGUAAGUCUUGUGUGAAAUCUUCGGGCUCAACUCGAAGUCUGCACGAGAAACUGCCGGGCUCGAGUAUGGGAGAGGUGAGUGUAAUUCCCGGUGUAGCGGUGAAAUGCGCAGAUAUCGGGAGGAACACCAGUAGCGAAGGCGGCACUCUGGGCCGUGACUGACGCUGAGGAGCGAAAGCGUGGGUAGCAAACAGG
RNAcentral lists this ribosomal RNA (253 nucleotides) under uncultured bacterium. Its description in RNAcentral is "partial 16S ribosomal RNA". It matches the Rfam family "Bacterial small subunit ribosomal RNA", at positions 524 to 776 of the family's 1533-position model. The record is from RNAcentral.